GGUGCCAGAAGGAGGGAGACCAAUCCAGCCUUAGGAAAACAAACCUUCCAUGGGAGUCUUGGAGAGUGGCGACCAUCCUAAUGACUUA
RNAcentral lists this microRNA precursor (88 nucleotides) under Equus caballus (horse). Its description in RNAcentral is "mir-9014 microRNA precursor family". It matches the Rfam family "mir-9014 microRNA precursor family". Lineage: Eukaryota; Metazoa; Chordata; Mammalia; Perissodactyla; Equidae. The record is from Rfam by way of RNAcentral.